UCCUAGGGCCCAGGACUGGAAUUCUGGCUCAGACCAGGAAGGAAGCAUGCAAGUAUGGAUAUGACCACCGGAGGGCACUAGAGGCCCAUCCUCAACUGUAAGUCCACCAACUUCUGCCUGGAAGGUUCCCACCCCACUCGGCCCCAGCCAGCGAGUCCGGCGGCGGUGGGGGCUACAUCUGGUCAAAGCAGGAACCAAGGCAGAGGCAAGCCCUGGGUUCACAUCCUACCUCUGGGCUCACUCAGAGAAUUGUGUUGUGCACGUCCGUUCUCUCUGAACCCCUUCCCUUAUCUGUAAAUGAGUGUGAGGCCACCCACAGACCCCAUGUGAGGAUGCCCUUCAGGGAAUCUACAGCAAAACUAAGGCACUGCUCUCCCUGCUUUUCCUCACCAACUGCUGAGAAAAGAGCCAAGCUCACGCAGGGGUCCCAUCUGUUCCGGGAGCUUUUUGCCUCAAGUAGGGGAACAUCACUGAGUUCCUCUCAUACUAUGGUCUCCAUGAAUCCGCAGAGGGCUUGGUCUCUUUGCUGGCACUAACUUGCUACCUCAGACAGGAUCUUCCUCACCAAGAAAAGGCACUAGGCAUAGGUGAAAAUAAUGGCAAACUUUAUUGGCAUAAGUCACAGAAAUUGAAAUGGGGAAAAGCCAGGUUAAAAGUUUACAGAGGAAAAAAAAAUAAAAUAAAAUCCUCAAAUAACCAUUGCCCCAGAAGGUAGACCCCAGAAACCCCAGUACCCCUAAGGGAGGGGCCUGGGGCCAGUCACUGUAAACAGAGCAAUAAGGCCUAUGGGUGGAAGUGGAGACAUCAGACCUUUGGAGGGGCCUGGCUGACCUCCCAGACUGGGGCUGCUCCUAGCCCUGUCUCAAAGGAGGGGGACCCUCUUCUGAGACCCCGGCACACUCAGUCUUUGCUAUGAAGCUAGUGGAGUGGUCUGGAUCAUCUUCACGUUAGACCCCCGCCGGGACCCCUUCUGCGGACCUGGAACGCCAGGCUUGCCUGUUGCUGUUUCAUCCUUGGGGGACAGAGCUCUGAGGGCUUCCUACUGCUUUAGCAGGAUCCUGUCCCCUCUGCCUGGAGUCCUAUCAGGCCCCCUUGCAAAAAUUUUUGGGCCCUUUUCCCCAGACCUCCAGUCUCCAGGGAGGGCAGGGGAAAUUUGGGGAAAUGCGGGGCCCAGUGGAAUCAACAAGACCAAUGGUCAAAAUCAGAUACCAGCUUUCCUGAGAAGGCAGAAGAAAAAGCCAGAGAGAAGCAGUGAGGAGGCCGAGAAUGUUCGGCAGGUUCUCUUUGCUGCCAAAAAGUUCACAGGGGAGCAGAUGCUCCUGAUGGCUUACUCAGACAGGAAGCAGCACCCCCAAAGUGUACUUUCCCCUUCUCCCCCCUCAGGAACAGGACAGAUGAGGUUCAGAACUCUAGGCCCCAAAGGGCAAGACACCCUAAGGCCAGUUUCAGUUAAGAGCUUGCUGGCCCAGGUAGUAAGGAAGGGGUUUUAAAAUACAGCAGUUUAUAUAAAACAGUCCUGGUGAGCUGUGAAGUUAAGGAAGGGGAGUCAGAGAGCUGCUCCGAAUUCACCUGCUUGUGCUAAGAAAAAAUAAAAUACAAAUUGCUUCCCCACCCCAAGCCCUCAGUACAAGGCAAAUGCCAUGCCACGGCCAUUGUCACCAACAGGACAAGUGGCCAUGGAGGAGGAGAGUACAAA
This 1696-nucleotide long non-coding RNA is filed under the name Lynx pardinus (Iberian lynx). The record is from RNAcentral. Lineage: Eukaryota; Metazoa; Chordata; Mammalia; Carnivora; Felidae.